This 340-nucleotide long non-coding RNA is filed under the name Homo sapiens (human). RNAcentral's name for it is "non-protein coding lnc-FOXO6-1:1". Lineage: Eukaryota; Metazoa; Chordata; Mammalia; Primates; Hominidae. The record is from RNAcentral.
CCCAGAUGAAGCUUGACAGGAGAACUGGACACAACAGGCCAGGUUUCCCUAGGAUCACCAGCUGUCAUGGACUGAUUUGUGUCUCUCCAAAUUCAUAUGUUGAAUACUUAACCUGCCAUGCGAUUGUGAUUGGAGAUAAUUCCUUUAGGGAAGCAAUGAAGGUUAAAUGAGGUCAUAGGUGGGAGCUUAAUCCAAUGGGACUGGGGUCCCUACAAGAAGAGGAAGACACCAGAGCUCUCUGUCUCCACACACAGAGAAAAGAGGCUGUAUGAGGACACAAGAGAAGGUAAUAGCUGUCUACAAACCAAGAAGAGAAGCCUCUCCAGAAAAUGAACCCUGC